UGAGGAAUAAGCCUCGGCUAACUACGUGCCAGCAGCCGCGGUAAUACGUAGGAGGCGAGCGUUAUCCGGAUUUACUGGGCGUAAAGAGAGCGUAGGCGGUUCUUCAAGUCGGAUGUAAAAUCUCCCGGCUCAACUGGGAGGCGCCAUGAGAAACUGUCGGACUUGAGGGCAGCAGAGGAAGACGGAAUUCCAGGAGUAGUGGUGAAAUGCGUAGAUACCUGGAGGAACCCCAGUGGCGAAGGCGGUCUUCUGGGCUGUUACCUGACGCUGAGGCGCGAGAGCGUGGGGAGCAAACCGGAUUAGAUACCCGGGUAGUCCACGCCCUAAACGAUGGACACUAGGUCUGGGGGGUAUCGACCCUCUCCGGGCCGAAGCUAACGCUUUAAGUGUCCCGCCUGGGAAGUACGGCCGCAAGGCUAAAACUCAAAGGAAUUGACGGGGACCCGCACAAGCAGCGGAGCGUGUGGUUUAAUUCGAUGCUAAGCGAAGAACCUUACCAGGGUUUGACAUGCUGGAAGUAGAAACCCGAAAGGGGGACGACCUGUAAAGUCAGGAACCUGCACAGGUGCUGCAUGGCUGUCGUCAGCUCGUGCCGUGAGGUGUUGGGUUAAGUCCCGCAACGAGCGCAACCCUCGCCGUUAGUUGAUUUCUCUAACGGGACUGCCGGGCGAAACCCGGAGGAAGGCGGGGAUGACGUCAAGUCAGCAUGGCCCUUAUGUCCUGGGCUACACACACGCUACAAUGGGCGGUACAAUGGGAUGCCAAGGUGCGAGCCUGAGCUAAUCCCCUAAAACCGUCCUCAGUUCGGAUUGCAGGCUGAAACCCGCCUGCAUGAAGUCGGAGUUGCUAGUAACCGCAGGUCAGCACACUGCGGUGAAUACGUUCCCGGGUCCUGUACACACCGCCCGUCACGUCAUGGGAGUCGGUAACACCCCAAGCCGGUGGGCUAACCCGCAAGGGAGGCAGCUGUCCAAGGUGGGACCAGCGACCGGGACGAAGUCGUAACAAGGUAGCCGUAGCGGAAGCUGCGGCUGGAUCACCUCCUUU
This 1047-nucleotide ribosomal RNA is filed under the name Dehalococcoidia bacterium. RNAcentral describes it as "bacterial SSU rRNA". It matches the Rfam family "Bacterial small subunit ribosomal RNA", at positions 480 to 1533 of the family's 1533-position model. Lineage: Bacteria; Bacillati; Chloroflexota; Dehalococcoidia. The record is from RNAcentral.